UCUCAGCUUUUAUGGCCUCACUCAGUUCUGGUCAUAAAAGCAGUGAAAACAUUUUCCGACACUUGCUGGACAUAAAUGAAAGUUUCCUGUACUGGGUGAAGCUUUCACUCUGCCAGACAUCAGCCUGGACAUAUCUAAGGCAACCAAUCCCUGACUAGAUGAGGCGGGACGUGUCCCUGAGGUAACCAAGCUGGAUGAGGAUGAAAGCAGAGACAAAGAAGCUCUUCUGUGGGAACAGAUCGUCUGUAUGUUGCUGCUGAGUGUUAUGAUUGUAAGAAAAAUAAAUGUCUGACAAAAAUGUGCAAA
This is a long non-coding RNA of Notolabrus celidotus (New Zealand spotty), 306 nucleotides long. RefSeq lists it as uncharacterized. The record is from RefSeq and is a predicted model, not a curated record. The transcript has 2 exons. Lineage: Eukaryota; Metazoa; Chordata; Actinopteri; Labriformes; Labridae.